GUGGGGAAUAUUGGGCAAUGGGCGAAAGCCUGACCCAGCGACGCCGCGUGAGGGAAGAAGGUCUUCGGAUUGUAAACCUCUUUCAGCAAGGAAGAAGUAAGUGACGGUACUUGCAGAAGAAGCCACGGCUAACUACGUGCCAGCAGCCGCGGUAAUACGUAGGUGGCGAGCGUUAUCCGGAAUUACUGGGUGUAAAGGGUGUGUAGGCGGGGAGUCAAGUCAGAUGUGAAAAUUAUGGGCUCAACCCAUAACCUGCGUCUGAAACUGAUUCUCUUGAGAGUGGGAGAGGUAAACGGAAUUCCUGGUGUAGCGGUGAAAUGCGUAGAUAUCAGGAGGAACACCGGUGGCGAAGGCGGUUUACUGGACCACAACUGACGCUGAGACACGAAAGCGUGGGGAGCAAACAGGAUUAGAAACCCUAGUAGUCC
Molecule: ribosomal RNA, 428 nt
Filed under: uncultured bacterium
Lineage: Bacteria
Description: bacterial SSU rRNA
Rfam family: Bacterial small subunit ribosomal RNA
Source: RNAcentral